This 253-nucleotide ribosomal RNA is filed under the name uncultured bacterium. RNAcentral's name for it is "partial 16S ribosomal RNA". It matches the Rfam family "Bacterial small subunit ribosomal RNA", at positions 524 to 776 of the family's 1533-position model. The record is from RNAcentral.
UACGGAGGGUGCAAGCGUUGUCCGGAUUUAUUGGGUUUAAAGGGUGCGUAGGCGGCCUAUUAAGUCAGUGGUGAAAGCCUGGAGCUUAACUCCAGAACUGCCAUUGAUACUGAUGGGCUUGAGUACAGUUGAGGUUGGCGGAAUGUGUCAUGUAGCGGUGAAAUGCUUAGAUAUGACACGGAACACCGAUUGCGAAGGCAGCUAGCUAAACUGUAACUGACGCUGAGGCACGAAAGCGUGGGUAGCAAACAGG